GUGAGGAAUAUUGCGCAAUGGAGGCAACUCUGACGCAGCCAUGCCGCGUGCAGGAAGAAGGCGCUACGCGUUGUAAACUGCUUUUAACCGGGAAGAAACCCCAGGACGUGUCCUGGGUUGACGGUACCGGAGGAAUAAGCACCGGCUAACUUCGUGCCAGCAGCCGCGGUAAUACGAAGGGUGCAAGCGUUAUCCGGAUUCAUUGGGUUUAAAGGGUGCGUAGGCGGAACGUUAAGUCAGUGGUGAAAUCCUGCAGCUUAACUGUAGACUUGCCAUUGAUACUGGCACUCUUGAGUGCGCUUGAAGUGAGCGGGAUGUAACGUGUAGCGGUGAAAUGCUUAGAUAUGGCACAGAACACCAAUUGCGAAGGCAGCUCACUAAGGCGAUACUGACGCUGAGGCACGAAAGCGUGGGGAUCGAACAGGAUUAGAUACCCGUGUAGUCC
RNAcentral lists this ribosomal RNA (445 nucleotides) under uncultured bacterium. RNAcentral describes it as "partial 16S ribosomal RNA". It matches the Rfam family "Bacterial small subunit ribosomal RNA", at positions 354 to 796 of the family's 1533-position model. The record is from RNAcentral.